GCCAGUGUGGUUUAGUGAUUUGAGUGUUGGACUUAACUCUGGAGACCAGGGUUCAAAUCCCUCCUUGGCCA
Phrynosoma platyrhinos (Desert horned lizard) is the source of this 71-nucleotide non-coding RNA. The record is from the annotation of a GenBank genome assembly. Lineage: Eukaryota; Metazoa; Chordata; Lepidosauria; Squamata; Phrynosomatidae.